This 301-nucleotide ribosomal RNA is filed under the name uncultured bacterium. RNAcentral's name for it is "partial 16S ribosomal RNA". It matches the Rfam family "Bacterial small subunit ribosomal RNA", at positions 509 to 807 of the family's 1533-position model. The record is from RNAcentral.
CAGCAGCCGCGGGAAUACGGAGGGCGCGAGCGUUACCCGGAUUUACUGGGCGUAAAGGGCGUGUAGGCGGCCUGGGGCGUCCCAUGUGAAAGGCCACGGCUCAACCGUGGAGGAGCGUGGGAUACGCUCAGGCUAGAGGGUGGGAGAGGGUGGUGGAAUUCCCGGAGUAGCGGUGAAAUGCGCAGAUACCGGGAGGAACGCCGAUGGCGAAGGCAGCCACCUGGUCCACUUCUGACGCUGAGGCGCGAAAGCGUGGGGAGCAAACCGGAUUAGAUACCCGGGUAGUCCCUGUCUCUUAUAC